UACAGAGGUCUCAAGCGUUGUUCGGAUUCAUUGGGCGUAAAGGGCGCGUAGGCGGCGGGGUAAGUCGGGUGUGAAAUCUCAGAGCUCAACUCUGAAACUGCACUCGAUACUGCUCUGCUUGAGGACUGGAGAGGAGACUGGAAUUCACGGUGUAGCAGUGAAAUGCGUAGAUAUCGUGAGGAAGACCAGUGGCGAAGGCGGGUCUCUGGACAGUUCCUGACGCUGAGGCGCGAAGGUCAGGGGAGCAAACGGG
This 253-nucleotide ribosomal RNA is filed under the name uncultured bacterium. RNAcentral describes it as "partial 16S ribosomal RNA". It matches the Rfam family "Bacterial small subunit ribosomal RNA", at positions 524 to 776 of the family's 1533-position model. The record is from RNAcentral.